This 122-nucleotide microRNA precursor is filed under the name Leptotrombidium deliense. RNAcentral describes it as "mir-1 microRNA precursor family". Lineage: Eukaryota; Metazoa; Arthropoda; Arachnida; Trombidiformes; Trombiculidae. The record is from RNAcentral.
UUUGAAUUACCGUACUUCCUCACAUUACCUGACAUGUCGGAUAUAAGGGAAUAUUACCAAAUUCUCGUUAAAUUCACUUUACCGGACAUGUCGGAUAAUGUGAGGAAGUACGGUAAUUCGAA